RNAcentral lists this ribosomal RNA (425 nucleotides) under uncultured bacterium. RNAcentral describes it as "bacterial SSU rRNA". It matches the Rfam family "Bacterial small subunit ribosomal RNA", at positions 68 to 485 of the family's 1533-position model. The record is from RNAcentral.
AGCACAUGAAGCAGCAGACUUCGAUGGUGGCGACCGGCGCAAGGGUGAGUAACGGGUAUGCAAUCUACCUACAACAAGGGAAUAACCCGUUGAAAGACGGACUAAUACCCUAUAAUACAGGGGUCCCGCAUGGGAAUAUUUGUUAAAGAUUUAUCGGUUGUAGAUGAGCAUGCGUUCCAUUAGCUAGUUGGUGAGGUAACGGCCCACCAACGCAACGAUGGAUAGGGGAACUGAGAGGUUUAUCCCCCGGACUGGUACUGAGACACAGACCAGACUCCUACGGGAGGCAGCAGUGAGGAAUAUUGGGAAUGGACGCAAGUCUGAACCAGCCACGUCGCGUGAAGGAAGACUGCCCUACGGGUUGUAAACUUCUUUUGUAAGGGAAUAAAGUGUAAUACGUGUACUAUUUUGCAUGUACCUUACGA